Molecule: ribosomal RNA, 1266 nt
Filed under: Lactiplantibacillus plantarum subsp. plantarum
Lineage: Bacteria; Bacillati; Bacillota; Bacilli; Lactobacillales; Lactobacillaceae
Description: bacterial SSU rRNA
Rfam family: Bacterial small subunit ribosomal RNA
Source: RNAcentral
AUCAUGAUUUACAUUUGAGUGAGUGGCGAACUGGUGAGUAACACGUGGGAAACCUGCCCAGAAGCGGGGGAUAACACCUGGAAACAGAUGCUAAUACCGCAUAACAACUUGGACCGCAUGGUCCGAGUUUGAAAGAUGGCUUCGGCUAUCACUUUUGGAUGGUCCCGCGGCGUAUUAGCUAGAUGGUGGGGUAACGGCUCACCAUGGCAAUGAUACGUAGCCGACCUGAGAGGGUAAUCGGCCACAUUGGGACUGAGACACGGCCCAAACUCCUACGGGAGGCAGCAGUAGGGAAUCUUCCACAAUGGACGAAAGUCUGAUGGAGCAACGCCGCGUGAGUGAAGAAGGGUUUCGGCUCGUAAAACUCUGUUGUUAAAGAAGAACAUAUCUGAGAGUAACUGUUCAGGUAUUGACGGUAUUUAACCAGAAAGCCACGGCUAACUACGUGCCAGCAGCCGCGGUAAUACGUAGGUGGCAAGCGUUGUCCAGAUUUAUUGGGCGUAAAGCGAGCGCAUGCGGGUUUUGAACUCUGAUGUGAAAGCCUUCGGCUCAACCGAAGAAGUGCAUCGGAAACUGGGAAACUUGAGUGCAGAAGAGGACAGUGGAACUCCAUGUGUAGCGGUGAAAUGCGUAGAUAUAUGGAAGAACACCAGUGGCGAAGGCGGCUGUCUGGUCUGUAACUGACGCUGAGGCUCGAAAGUAUGGGUAGCAAACAGGAUUAGAUACCCUGGUAGUCCAUACCGUAAACGAUGAAUGCUAAGUGUUGGAGGGUUUCCGCCCUUCAGUGCUGCAGCUAACGCAUUAAGCAUUCCGCCUGGGGAGUACGGCCGCAAGGCUGAAACUCAAAGGAAUUGACGGGGGCCCGCACAAGCGGUGGAGCAUGUGGUUUAAUUCGAAGCUACGCGAAGAACCUUACCAGGUCUUGACAUACUAUGCAAAUCUAAGAGAUUAGACGUUCCCUUCGGGGACAUGGAUACAGGUGGUGCAUGGUUGUCGUCAGCUCGUGUCGUGAGAUGUUGGGUUAAGUCCCGCAACGAGCGCAACCCUUAUUAUCAGUUGCCAGCAUUAAGUUGGGCACUCUGGUGAGACUGCCGGUGACAAACCGGAGGAAGGUGGGGAUGACGUCAAAUCAUCAUGCCCCUUAUGACCUGGGCUACACACGUGCUACAAUGGAUGGUACAACGAGUUGCGAACUCGCGAGAGUAAGCUAAUCUCUUAAAGCCAUUCUCAGUUCGGAUUGUAGGCUGCAACUCGCCUACAUGAAGU